Molecule: ribosomal RNA, 1389 nt
Filed under: Bacillus sp. p-4
Lineage: Bacteria; Bacillati; Bacillota; Bacilli; Caryophanales; Bacillaceae
Description: bacterial SSU rRNA
Rfam family: Bacterial small subunit ribosomal RNA
Source: RNAcentral
UUGGUCCCUGAUGUUAGCGGCGGACGGGUGAGUAACACGUGGGUAACCUGCCUGUAAGACUGGGAUAACUCCGGGAAACCGGGGCUAAUACCGGAUGGUUGUUUGAACCGCAUGGUUCAAACAUAAAAGGUGGCUUCGGCUACCACUUACAGAUGGACCCGCGGCGCAUUAGCUAGUUGGUGAGGUAACGGCUCACCAAGGCAACGAUGCGUAGCCGACCUGAGAGGGUGAUCGGCCACACUGGGACUGAGACACGGCCCAGACUACUACGGGAGGCAGCAGUAGGGAAUCUUCCGCAAUGGACGAAAGUCUGACGGAGCAACGCCGCGUGAGUGAUGAAGGUUUUCGGAUCGUAAAGCUCUGUUGUUAGGGAAGAACAAGUACCGUUCGAAUAGGGCGGUACCUUGACGGUACCUAACCAGAAAGCCACGGCUAACUACGUGCCAGCAGCCGCGGUAAUACGUAGGUGGCAAGCGUUGUCCGGAAUUAUUGGGCGUAAAGGGCUCGCAGGCGGUUUCUUAAGUCUGAUGUGAAAGCCCCCGGCUCAACCGGGGAGGGUCAUUGGAAACUGGGGAACUUGAGUGCAGAAGAGGAGAGUGGAAUUCCACGUGUAGCGGUGAAAUGCGUAGAGAUGUGGAGGAACACCAGUGGCGAAGGCGACUCUCUGGUCUGUAACUGACGCUGAGGAGCGAAAGCGUGGGGAGCGAACAGGAUUAGAUACCCUGGUAGUCCACGCCGUAAACGAUGAGUGCUAAGUGUUAGGGGGUUUCCGCCCCUUAGUGCUGCAGCUAACGCAUUAAGCACUCCGCCUGGGGAGUACGGUCGCAAGACUGAAACUCAAAGGAAUUGACGGGGGCCCGCACAAGCGGUGGAGCAUGUGGUUUAAUUCGAAGCAACGCGAAGAACCUUACCAGGUCUUGACAUCCUCUGACAAUCCUAGAGAUAGGACGUCCCCUUCGGGGGCAGAGUGACAGGUGGUGCAUGGUUGUCGUCAGCUCGUGUCGUGAGAUGUUGGGUUAAGUCCCGCAACGAGCGCAACCCUUGAUCUUAGUUGCCAGCAUUCAGUUGGGCACUCUAAGGUGACUGCCGGUGACAAACCGGAGGAAGGUGGGGAUGACGUCAAAUCAUCAUGCCCCUUAUGACCUGGGCUACACACGUGCUACAAUGGACAGAACAAAGGGCAGCGAAACCGCGAGGUUAAGCCAAUCCCACAAAUCUGUUCUCAGUUCGGAUCGCAGUCUGCAACUCGACUGCGUGAAGCUGGAAUCGCUAGUAAUCGCGGAUCAGCAUGCCGCGGUGAAUACGUUCCCGGGCCUUGUACACACCGCCCGUCACACCACGAGAGUUUGUAACACCCGAAGUCGGUGAGGUAACCUUUAGGAGCCAGCC